RNAcentral lists this non-coding RNA (30 nucleotides) under Rattus norvegicus (Norway rat). The record is from RNAcentral. Lineage: Eukaryota; Metazoa; Chordata; Mammalia; Rodentia; Muridae.
UAAGAGACAAGCUACAGUAGAGAUAAUCUU